Molecule: transfer RNA, 75 nt
Filed under: Alphaproteobacteria bacterium
Lineage: Bacteria; Pseudomonadati; Pseudomonadota; Alphaproteobacteria
Also listed under: 1 other name
Description: tRNA-His
Rfam family: tRNA
About the family: Transfer RNA (tRNA) molecules are approximately 80 nucleotides in length.
Source: RNAcentral
GCGGGUGUAGCUCAGUGGUAGAGCAUCAGAUUGUGGCUCUGAGGGUCGUGGGUUCAAUCCCCAUCACUCGCCCCA